CACAACUCUGGGAAGUACCAUUU
Molecule: microRNA, 23 nt
Filed under: Sus scrofa (pig)
Lineage: Eukaryota; Metazoa; Chordata; Mammalia; Artiodactyla; Suidae
Description: ssc-miR-10388
Source: miRBase by way of RNAcentral